RNAcentral lists this ribosomal RNA (252 nucleotides) under uncultured bacterium. RNAcentral's name for it is "partial 16S ribosomal RNA". It matches the Rfam family "Bacterial small subunit ribosomal RNA", at positions 524 to 776 of the family's 1533-position model. The record is from RNAcentral.
UACGGAGGAUGCGAGCGUUAUCCGGAUUUAUUGGGUUUAAAGGGUGCGUAGGCGGACGCUUAAGUCAGCGGUAAAAUUGCGGGGCUCAACCUCGUCGAGCCGUUGAAACUGGGUGCCUUGAGUGGGCAAGAAGUACGCGGAAUGCGUGGUGUAGCGGUGAAAUGCAUAGAUAUCACGCAGAACUCCGAUUGCGAAGGCAGCGUACCGGCGCCCAACUGACGCUGAAGCACGAAGGCGUGGGUAUCGAACAGG